RNAcentral lists this ribosomal RNA (253 nucleotides) under uncultured bacterium. Its description in RNAcentral is "partial 16S ribosomal RNA". It matches the Rfam family "Bacterial small subunit ribosomal RNA", at positions 524 to 776 of the family's 1533-position model. The record is from RNAcentral.
UACAGAGGUCUCAACCGUUGUUCGGAUUCAUUGGGCGUAAAGCGCACGUAGGCGGCUUCUUAAGUCAGGGGUGAAAUCCUGGAGCUCAACUCCAGAACUGCCUUUGAUACUGAGAAGCUUGAGUCCGGGAGAGGUGAGUGGAACUGCGAGUGUAGAGGUGAAAUUCGUAGAUAUUCGCGAGAACACCAGUGGCGAAGGCGGCUCACUGGCCCGGUACUGACGCUGAGGUGCGAAAGCGUGGGGAGCAAACAGG